This 76-nucleotide transfer RNA is filed under the name bacterium. RNAcentral's name for it is "tRNA-Pro". It matches the Rfam family "tRNA". From Rfam's summary of the family: Transfer RNA (tRNA) molecules are approximately 80 nucleotides in length. Their secondary structure includes four short double-helical elements and three loops (D, anti-codon, and T loops). Further hydrogen bonds mediate the characteristic L-shaped molecular structure. tRNAs have two regions of fundamental functional importance: the anti-codon, which is responsible for specific mRNA codon recognition, and the 3' end, to which the tRNAs corresponding amino acid is attached (by aminoacyl-tRNA synthetases). tRNAs cope with the degeneracy of the genetic code in two manners: having more than one tRNA (with a specific anti-codon) for a particular amino acid; and 'wobble' base-pairing, i.e. permitting non-standard base-pairing at the 3rd anti-codon position. The record is from RNAcentral. RNAcentral also lists the same sequence under 1 other name.
CGGGGCGUGGCGCAGUCCGGUUUAGCGCACCAGCAUGGGGGGCUGGGGGUCGGCCGUUCGAAUCGGCUCGCCCCGA